CUGUAAUUCUGAACGCAAACUACAGACAUGAAUAAUGCCAAAGAAAAUCAUGAUGGGACAGCGAGACAAGCAGAUAGUAUGGACCCAGAUGAAACGUCUGGUUGGAACAAGUUGAAUAUUAAGUCCGCCGUGUCACAGUGACCCCUGCACAGCCUGGGCCAAGAACUCAGUGUGUCAUGAGACACAGGUGAUCUCAGGAUCAUUGACGGACUUCAGUCCAAAACGGGCCAUCAUCUGCUCAUACACUGUCCACGCCAUGGCUGCAAUCAUGGUCCUCCUCAGUGCCCGAAGAACCGCC
This is a long non-coding RNA of Anoplopoma fimbria (sablefish), 298 nucleotides long. RefSeq lists it as uncharacterized. NCBI's taxonomy places the organism in Eukaryota, Metazoa, Chordata, Actinopteri, Perciformes, Anoplopomatidae. The transcript has 3 exons. The record is from RefSeq and is a predicted model, not a curated record.